RNAcentral lists this non-coding RNA (26 nucleotides) under Rattus norvegicus (Norway rat). Lineage: Eukaryota; Metazoa; Chordata; Mammalia; Rodentia; Muridae. The record is from RNAcentral.
AAGGGAACAGUAUAGGUUGAGCGUGA